UUUUUUCUUUUAAAAUUUUUCAUUUUAAGUUGGUUAUUUCUGAUUAAUAUUUAAAAGCAAAUAAUAAUGAUAUGGUAGGAGAUACACACCAAACAGGAUGUGUAAAUUAUUAUAUAAUAAGUAUUGUGCAAUAGCAAGAAAUUUUCAAUUGCACAGUAUUGCACAAAAGCAAGAAAUCUUCAAUUGCACAGUAUUGCGCAAUAGCAAGAAAUCUUCAAUUGCACAGUAUUGCGCAAUAGCAAGAAAUCUUCAAUUGCACAGUAUUGCGCAAUAGCAAGAAAUAUCCAAUAGCACAAUAUUGCGCAAUAGCAAGAAAUUGUCAAUUGUACAGUAUUGCACAAUAGCAAGAAAUAUUCAAUUGCACAGUAUUGUGCAAAAGAAGAUACUUCGUAUAAAUUGCUUAUUUCUUGAUCAAUUUCAAUGGGGUUUUAUUUUUGAAUUCUUGGGGUUCUUUAAUAUGCUGAAUCUAACCGUGUAUUAAGUUUUUGGAUUUUGGGCCCCAUUUUUAAAUUGGUCCACAUUGAGGUCCAAAGGGUCCAAAAUUUAACUUUGUUUGAUUUCAUCAAAAAUUGAAUUAUUGGGGUUCUUUGAUAUGCAGAAUCUAACCGUGUAUUUAGAUUCUUAAUUUUUGGUUCCGUUUUCAAAUUGGUCUACAUUAAGGUCCAAAGGGUCCAAAAUUAAACUUAGUUUGAUUUUAACAAAAAUUGAAUUUUUAGGGUUCUUUGAUAUGCUGAAUCUAAACAUGUAUUUAGAUUUUUGAUUAUGGGCCCAGUUUUCAAGUUGGUCCAAAUCGGGGUCCAAAAUUAAAACUUUGUUUGAUUUCAACAAAAAUUGAAUAUAUGGGGUUCUUUGAUAUGCUGAAUCUAACCAUGUAUUUAGAUUUUUGAUUUUUGGGCCCGUUAUCAACUUUGUCCACAUUGAGGUCAAAAGGGUCCAAAAUUAAACUUUGUUUGAUUUCAUCAAAAAUUGAAUUCUUGGGGUUCUUUGAUAUGCUGAAUCUAACCAUGUAUUUAGAUUUUGGAUAUUGGACCAUAAUAGGUGAAUGUUCAAUUUAAAAUUUUUAAGUUCUUAGACCACAUUCAUUCUGUGUCAGAAACCUAUGCUGUGUCAAAUAUUUAAUCACAAUCCAAAUUCAGAGCUGUAUCAAGCUUGAAUGUUGUGUCCAUACUUGCCCCAACUGUUCAGGGUUCGACCUCUGCGGUCGUAUCAAGCUGCGCCCUGCGGAGCAUUUUAUUUCAUUUUAUUUCUUUUUGUAACGCAUCACAAUUGGAAUAAUAGUACUGUAGUUGACGAGGAUCUGCCGUCAAUUUUGAUUUGACAGUCGCAAAUUUCCUUUUACCGUCUAUGCUACACGUCGCCAGUAAAACUCCAUUUGUGACUAAUAAAUCGCCAAUUGACGGCAGUACCUCUACAACUUCAGUGCUAUUAUUCCUUAUAUAUAUUAGUACUGAAAAUGAGAAUAGGGGUAAAGAAAUAGAUUAGUAUUCAAAUUCAGAAAAGGGAUGUAAAGAAAAAUAUAAGUUCUGAAAUUGAAAAAAAGAGUGAAGAAUAAGAUAAGGUCUGAAAUUGAGAAUAGGGGUGUGGAAUAAGAUAAGGUCUGAAAUGUGAAUAGGGGCGAAGAAUUAGAUAAGGUCUGAAAUGAGAAUAGGGAUUAAGAAUUAGACGAGCUCUGAAAUGAGAAUAGGGAUGAAGAAUUAGAUAAGGUCUGAAAUGAGAAUAGGGGUGUGGAAUUAGAUAAGGUCUGAAAUGAGAAUAGGAGUGUGGAAUUAGAUAAGGUCUGAAAUGAGAAUAGGGGUGUGGAAUUAGAUAAGGUCUGAAAUGAGAUUAGGGAUGAAGAAUUAGAUAAGGUCUGAAAUGAGAAUAGGGGUGUGGAAUUAGAUAAGGUCUGAAAUGAGAAUAGGGGUGUGGAAUUAGAUAAGGUCUGAAAUGAGAAUAGGGGUGUGGAAUUAGAUAAGGUCUGAAAUGAGAAUAGGGGUGUGGAAUUAGAUAAGGUCUGAAAUGAGAAUAGGGGUGUGGAAUUAGAUAAGGUCUGAAAUGAGAAUAGGGGUGUGGAAUUAGAUAAGGUCUGAAAUGAGAAUAGGGAUGUGGAAUUAGAUAAGGUCUGAAAUGAGAAUAGGGGUGUGGAAUUAGAUAAGGUCUGAAAUGAGAUUAGGGAUGAAGAAUUAGAUAAGGUCUGAAAUGAGAAUAGGGGUGUGGAAUUAGAUAAGGUCUGAAAUGAGAAUAGGGGUGUGGAAUUAGAUAAGGUCUGAAAUGAGAAUAGGGGUGAAGAAUUAGAUAAGGUCUGAAAUGAGAAUAGGGAUGAAGAAUUAGAUAAGGUCUGAAAUGAGUAUAGGGGUGUGGAAUUAGAUAAGGUCUGAAAUGAGAUUAGGGAUGAAGAAUUAGAUAAGGUCUGAAAUGAGAAUAGGGGUGUGGAAUUAGAUAAGGUCUGAAAUGAGAAUAGGGAUGAAGAAUUAGAUGAGGUCUGAAAUGAGAAUAGGGAUGAAGAAUUAGAUGAGGUCUGAAAUGAGAAUAGGGGUGUGAAAUUAGAUAAGGUCUGAAAUUGAGAAUAGGGGUGUGGAAUUAGAUAAGGGCUGAAACAAGAAUAGGGGUGUGGAAUUAGAUAAGGUCUGAAAUGAGAAUAGGAAUGAAGAAUUA
This is a long non-coding RNA of Mytilus californianus (California mussel), 2634 nucleotides long. RefSeq lists it as uncharacterized. NCBI's taxonomy places the organism in Eukaryota, Metazoa, Mollusca, Bivalvia, Mytilida, Mytilidae. The record is from RefSeq and is a predicted model, not a curated record. The transcript is spliced from 6 exons.